GAUGAACGCUAGCUACAGGCUUAACACAUGCAAGUCGAGGGGCAGCGGUAUCGAAAGCUUGCUUUCGGUAGCCGGCGACCGGCGCACGGGUGAGUAACGCGUAUCGAACCUGCCUCAUACUCGGGAAUAGCCUUGCGAAAGUAAGAUUAAUGCCCGGUGUUUUCAGAGUCCCGCAUGAGGCUUUGAACAAAGAUUUAUCGGUAUGAGAUGGCGAUGCGUCCCAUUAGCUUGUUGGCGGGGUAACGGCCCACCAAGGCAUCGAUGGGUAGGGGUUCUGAGAGGAAGGUCCCCCACAUUGGAACUGAGACACGGUCCAAACUCCUACGGGAGACAGCAGUGAGGAAUAUUGGUCAAUGGGCGGAAGCCUGAACCAGCCAAGUAGCGUGCAGGAAGACGGCCCUCCGGGUUGUAAACUGCUUUUAGUUGGGAAUAAAACGGGGCUCGUGAGCCCCCUUGCAUGUACCAUCAGAAAAAGGACCGGCUAAUUCCGUG
This 492-nucleotide ribosomal RNA is filed under the name uncultured bacterium. RNAcentral describes it as "partial 16S ribosomal RNA". It matches the Rfam family "Bacterial small subunit ribosomal RNA", at positions 28 to 507 of the family's 1533-position model. The record is from RNAcentral.